CACCAAAAAGAUUUGGAUCUGCUUGCUGGUAGAGGACUUCCAACUGAUAAAGACAGAUCUUACAUAAUUGAGAUCUCUGGAAGAGUCCUGGAUGAAGACACUGGUGAAGAGCUAGAUAGCCUUGGGAAGCUCGCUCCAACAGUUGAGAAGGUAAAGCAUGGGUUUGGCAUGAAAGUUCCAAAAGCAGCUGCGUAAUGAAACUGUAGGAGAUAUGAAGCUCUAAUGUGCCCUCUGGCAUGUGGUAAAAUCUUAAGCCUUCCUGUAGUGGAAUUUGAAACACCAUCUUAGCAGAUAUGUUUGAAGUAUAUGGACAGUUUUUCAGGCAUCCUGGUACAUAACGAUGCAAUGUUGGAUGGUAACCUAUUAAAUAUAAAGCUUCAUCUCUCGUCUUCUGAUUUUGUAUUUUGAUUGUUAUGUAGACAAUUGGCAGUGAUCUUGUGCUAUGUUUUGCAUUUGUGAAUGUAAUUAUUCAAUUCUUUUUCACAAUCAAACAUUUCGUUGUAUGUAGUUUAACUUCAACCUUUGAUGAAUACCAUUCUACAGAUAAACUCAAACUACAUACAACGAAAUGUUUGAUUGU
RNAcentral lists this unclassified non-coding RNA (580 nucleotides) under Hevea brasiliensis (rubber tree). Lineage: Eukaryota; Viridiplantae; Streptophyta; Magnoliopsida; Malpighiales; Euphorbiaceae. The record is from RNAcentral.